AAUGAACCUUCAAAUACCUAUUUGAACGGAUUUUUAUUCAUCAAUUUGAAUCCUUCCUAAAAAAUAUUCCAC
RNAcentral lists this transfer RNA (72 nucleotides) under Pachyptera erythraea. RNAcentral's name for it is "partial tRNA-Leu". The record is from RNAcentral. Lineage: Eukaryota; Viridiplantae; Streptophyta; Magnoliopsida; Lamiales; Bignoniaceae.